Molecule: non-coding RNA, 256 nt
Filed under: Legionella tucsonensis
Lineage: Bacteria; Pseudomonadati; Pseudomonadota; Gammaproteobacteria; Legionellales; Legionellaceae
Description: Legionella RNA 17
Rfam family: Legionella RNA 17
Source: Rfam by way of RNAcentral
GCAAAACUUGUCAGAGGUAACAUAAGAGUAAACGCAUAUACUAUCGCAAGCGAGCAUGGAUAUAGUUUUCUUAUCAACAUAGCGAUCUCCUCAGAUGCAAGGCUACAAAAUAAGCCAUCUUCUUUAUUAUAAUUUUUGAAAUGCAAUUAAGGUGCCAGGGUUAACCUACGACAGCCAAUUAAGUGGCGGAAUAGCUUUUCCCCUUAGUCUUAUUUCAAAGUAUAGACCGUUUUGUUUAAUCCCGCCGGUAUGUCCU